CCGUGCAACAAAACUAUGACAACAGUGGAAAGGAACUGGAAAGGAUUUGGGAGGGGGUUGGUGGAGGUGGAGGAGCCUCAACGUAAACUGCCAGGUGCAGAGACUCACAGAACUCUGUCCAUGGGGUCUGGGAGACAAGCAGAGACUAGCAGAGCCGGGCGCCAAACGGCGACAUCGUCUUCCCAAAGUUCCUUCCUAUGUCGCUUUCCCCACCCAGCUUCUAAGCAUCUGGAGCUGGCAUCCUGGAGAAGGUCCACACCUGUUAGGCGACUUCAAGCUCCCUGCAGUCUUCUGCCCCCGCCGUUUUGUGGCAGAGACAGGGCGGAUGAGUGUGGGGGGGGCGGGGGGUACUCUUGGCCUGGCAUCCCUGCAGUCAGCUGGCUCAACCUUCGAGGAGGCCCGGGCUGAACCUCGCGUCACCCCGCUGCAACGCGCGCCGCCAAGCGCUCCAGCGAGAGAAAGGCCUUUUUUGGUAACAGCCCCGCGGUAAGCGGGACCCACUUCUCUGGCCUGCGAGAUCCGCCUCGGAGAAGAUGAAAACAAACGUCUGGGUUGGGCCCUCCUCUGGCCUUUCCAUGGCCCCUGAUCGCCGCGCGUCAGGAACCCCAGAGGCGCAGUUUGAGCCCUGGGCCUGUAGAGACGCGCAAAGGGGCUGUGGAGGGUGGGGGAAGGGAGAUAGCAAGAUGAUUUACGCUUUUACUCCCAGGCCCAUUCCGUGGCGGAAGUAUUUGCCUUUCCCUAAAGGAGUAAUCCCGAUAUUUGGGGAAAAAGAAGUAUUAACUUAGGCCAGGGCGUAGGGUUACGCAAGAGCCACUCGAGCAUGAAAUCCCAGGAACAACGUGAUUCGCUGAGAAGCCCCGGGGGAGGGGAGCCUGCACCGCCUGCCAGGACCUGCCCAGCCUGGGGCGCGCGGGCAGUCGGGCUCUCAGUGCAAAAUCGGGUGGAAGGAAAAGGAGGGCGGGCGUAGUGGUUGGUGCAGGCACAGUGGCCACAGCGAGGGAUGGAUCUCUGACUGAUUUCUUCCUGGAGGGGCGGGGAACAGGGAGGGGAAGAAAGGCGCGGGGAGUCGCGUCUGGUUCCUGCCUCCUCCCCGCUUCCUCUCUUUGCCCGUGUGCCAGGAUGGGAGAGCCCAGCGCUGUCCUCAGCAAAAGCUGGUGUGGUUUUUUUAGGUCCAAAAAUAAAGGAACCCAGGAAUGAGCCGCCCAGGGACCAGGCCUAGAGGAAAAAAAGAGGGAAGAGCCAGACAAGGGUGCUAUUCACUGACCUGGUUGGGUUAAAACAAAUACCCACACCCCAAAAAGGGGAGUUGGAGAGGAAGGAAGCCUUGGACGGCAAGAGUAGGCAGAAAGCUGGCGGGGCGGCUGACCAGGCCACAGGUGCGCAAACCCCGGGACCCUCCACCCCGCCGGGCGCGCGCCUGGGCCUCAGCAGGGAGUAGGAGUGCCAGCCAGUUCCCACUGGCCCGCACCGACCUGGGGAUUUCCAUCGCCGGCUACGGAGACCCGUUGCCGCCGGCGCUUUCCUGCUGGGGCCACCAGAAGGCGGGGCCUCAGAGCGGGAAGCCCCUCCCUGCAGCCUCGCCAUCCCUCAGUCAGGUCUGGUACACGGGGCAGCUGUCACUGCUGUGCCUGGUUGGGAUGGAUGGGCCAGGACCCUUAAAUAUUUUGGCUUGCGUGAGCUGGGUAUUUCAACCC
RNAcentral lists this long non-coding RNA (1694 nucleotides) under Macaca fascicularis (crab-eating macaque). Its description in RNAcentral is "lncRNA (ENSMFAG00000063269.1)". The record is from RNAcentral. Lineage: Eukaryota; Metazoa; Chordata; Mammalia; Primates; Cercopithecidae.